AGUUCACCUUGUUGGCUGACGACUACAGGCUCAUUGAGGAGGUCUGCUUCGGCGCCAAGAGAAAAUGUGUUGUGGAUGUGUCCAGCUGGUCUGUGUUAAGCUGGGAAGAUCAAUCCAUUUAUAGCUUUUUAUAUUUUAUUACAGUGAAAAUGGCAGUACUAGCUUCAGUAGCAUCAAGCUUUAGGUUUCUUCUUACUGGAGUUACCAAUGGCUGACAGAUGGAGUAGGAGGAUGAGCAGCAACAACAAAUGAGCCUGAUGGUGAAGAAGCACCUGGUGACCAAAACUCCUUCAAGUGCUCUUUAGUCGUUCCAAAACAAGGUCUUGAUGUCCCCCUUAUAGAAAAUGUUCAUAUAUGUUCCUGCAUGAUGUGUGUGUGCAUGUUGGAUGGUCACAUUCUAGUGUACUAGGUAGCUAGUAAGCUUGUUUUGCUACCAGAUGAUUGAGUGUCAUCUCAGUUUGUACCUCAUCUAGCUCACCACCUCAAAUUGCCACUGUUUUGUUAGUGUUUCCUUCUUGGUUGGCUAAACAUAUUUGUUUGUUUGAUUUGGAGCAUUAGACGCUCUCCAUCGAUGAUUGCCUAAUUUUAUUCAUCGUCUCCACAAUAUAUUCAUUUGAUUGUCUGCUACAUCUCCACUUAAAUACUCAUAAUGCUUUUGUCCAGCCUUUGUUCAAUUGGACUGACCAUAUCUCUGGUUAAAAUUGUGGUCUUGAUCUUUUGUUUAAACCUGGGACAUCAUGCAUAACUAGCUCUUUCUUUUCAGUCUAAACAUGAGACCUUUUUCUGUUUUCAGUCACACUUCUGUUUUGUUGUGCUUGAUAAACCUGAGACUUCUUUCGAUUGUAAUAUCGAAGUUUUUUGGUUCUGACCUCAGUAGUAGUGCACUAAUAUUGAAGUUGUUCACUCUUUUACAGGAGCUCCAGGCCUAAUUUUCUUGGAGUGUGAAGCCGUGAAGCCAAGUGCGAAUCAGUGAAGCCCUACUUAGCAAAGAGUUUUUUGAUUCUGUAGUAGACUGUAAAUUGUAAUAUUGUAACAGAUUGUAAAAGACUAAUGUAGUGUUAUUUGAUGAA
This is a long non-coding RNA of Triticum dicoccoides, 1070 nucleotides long. RefSeq lists it as uncharacterized. NCBI's taxonomy places the organism in Eukaryota, Viridiplantae, Streptophyta, Magnoliopsida, Poales, Poaceae. The record is from RefSeq and is a predicted model, not a curated record. The transcript is spliced from 2 exons.